Molecule: ribosomal RNA, 233 nt
Filed under: uncultured bacterium
Lineage: Bacteria
Description: partial 16S ribosomal RNA
Rfam family: Bacterial small subunit ribosomal RNA
Source: RNAcentral
UCCGGAAUCACUGGGCGUAAAGGGCGCGUAGGCGGCCCGGUAAGUAGGAGGUGAAAUCCUGCGGCUUAACCGCAGGGCUGCCUUCUAAACUGCCAGGCUUGAGCACAGUAGAGGCAGGUGGAAUUCCCGGUGUAGCGGUGGAAUGCGUAGAGAUCGGGAAGAACAUCGGUGGCGAAGGCGGCCUGCUGGGCUGUUGCUGACGCUGAGGCGCGACAGCGUGGGGAGCAAACAGG